RNAcentral lists this ribosomal RNA (757 nucleotides) under Shigella sonnei. RNAcentral describes it as "partial 23S ribosomal RNA". It matches the Rfam family "Bacterial large subunit ribosomal RNA", at positions 296 to 1062 of the family's 2925-position model. Lineage: Bacteria; Pseudomonadati; Pseudomonadota; Gammaproteobacteria; Enterobacterales; Enterobacteriaceae. The record is from RNAcentral.
AGCCCAGAGCCUGAAUCAGUGUGUGUGUUAGUGGAAGCGUCUGGAAAGGCGCGCGAUACAGGGUGACAGCCCCGUACACAAAAAUACACAUAUUGUGAGCUCGAUGAGUAGGGCGGGACACGUGGUAUCCUGUCUGAAUAUGGGGGGACCAUCCUCCAAGGCUAAAUACUCCUGACUGACCGAUAGUGAACCAGUACCGUGAGGGAAAGGCGAAAAGAACCCCGGCGAGGGGAGUGAAAAAGAACCUGAAACCGUGUACGUACAAGCAGUGGGAGCACGCUUAGGCGUGUGACUGCGUACCUUUUGUAUAAUGGGUCAGCGACUUAUAUUCUGUAGCAAGGUUAACCGAAUAGGGGAGCCGAAGGGAAACCGAGUCUUAACUGGGCGUUAAGUUGCAGGGUAUAGACCCGAAACCCGGUGAUCUAGCCAUGGGCAGGUUGAAGGUUGGGUAACACUAACUGGAGGACCGAACCGACUAAUGUUGAAAAAUUAGCGGAUGACUUGUGGCUGGGGGUGAAAGGCCAAUCAAACCGGGAGAUAGCUGGUUCUCCCCGAAAGCUAUUUAGGUAGCGCCUCGUGAAUUCAUCUCCGGGGGUAGAGCACUGUUUCGGCAAGGGGGUCAUCCCGACUUACCAACCCGAUGCAAACUGCGAAUACCGGAGAAUGUUAUCACGGGAGACACACGGCGGGUGCUAACGUCCGUCGUGAAGAGGGAAACAACCCAGACCGCCAGCUAAGGUCCCAAAGUCAUGGUUAA